Non-coding RNA from Triticum urartu, 1927 nucleotides. NCBI's taxonomy places the organism in Eukaryota, Viridiplantae, Streptophyta, Magnoliopsida, Poales, Poaceae. The record is from RefSeq and is a predicted model, not a curated record.
GACCCGUUAUUUUUUCCAUCGCAACCCGCGUGUCUGUGUGGUUGACACUGUCGCCCUCCUCCUCCGAGCCGAACACGCAACCCCGAACAGAAUCGAACGAGAGAGAGAUAGCCAUGGCGAUUUGGAGCUCCGCCUCACCGCUCGAUCCAGUGUUUUGGUGGUGACUCGUCCGCGCUCUCCCUCGUGCUUCCCCGCUUCCUCCGCCUCCCUUCUGUUCCUGCCGGCGGGAUCUGCGGCAUCUCUCGGCCCCGCACCGAUCCGUCCCCAUUUCCGCCGCUGGCGAUUUUGUUCGUCGGAUUCAGUCCCCCCCUCCUCCCUUUUUGUUGUUCUUGUGAUCUGUUAGGUAGGGAGUUGGUUUUGUCUGUCAGAUUUGAUGAUUGUAUCCAUCCCCCGCAGCUUUUUUCCGUGUAGAUUUGUUUAGGUUGCACCGUUUCUGGGAUGCGUUUGAUUGUUCUGCUAAGCGUGGUAGCUUCCGUAGCUGGGAUGUGUGUCAGUUCGAUGUGCUGAUCUAUAAUUGAUUGGAUGUUGGAGUCCGAGUUGUUCAUGUGAGGCUGGCUUGCUUAGUUGUAGUACUCUGAUGUAUUCAGUCAAUUCGAACGGAUGUAUUCUGUUCCCUGGCCUUUAAUCCCUAGACCAUUUCUCUUCACUGGUAUUGUUUCGUGGGUAUGUGGUUUACUCUGUAAUUUCUAUUUUGGAUUUACAGUGCAAUCCCCAUUGUUUUUUAAAAUGAUUUUCAGUGUAAUUCAUACUGGAUUUUCAUUGAUUUUCACUGUAAUCCGUACUGAAUUUCCAGUGUAAUUUUCUUGUGGAUAGGUAGUAUAUUUGUAGUGUAAAUCCAAAGCAAUUUGUAGUGUAAUCCCCGGUUAUUUUACAGUGUAAUUUCAGUGUAUUUGCACUGUAUUUGCUAGUGGAAUAAUAGUGUAUAUGUCUUAAUUGCAGUGUAUUUUUGUCAGUGGGGUUGCACUGUAUUUGUUAGUGGAAUUACAAUGUAUUUGUUAGUGAUGUACAGUGUAAUUUGAUAGCUGAUUUACAGUGUAAUUGCCAUGGAUUUGCACUGUAUUCGCUAGUGGAAUUACAGUGUAAUUCACUUGAAUUUUUAUUGUGGAAUUGCGUUUUGGAUUUACAGUGUAUUUGUCAGCAAAUUUACAGUGUAAUUCAUAGCUGGUUUUACUGUGUAAAUUCAGUGUAAUUUACACUUUAAUUGAGUAGCAAAGGAAUUGUGACUGUUCUUGUGAUGCACCGCUAGUUUGUAUGUUCUUGUGAUGCAUCUGAUUCCAGUGUAUUUUCUUAAGGAUUUAGACUAUAAUUAUAUUCGGAUGUACACUGUAAUCUUCAUCGGAAUUCCAGUGUAUUUUCUUAGUGGGUGAUUACAGUGUAUUUACAAUGUAAUUCUCAGUUGGUUUCCACUGUAAUUCACAUGGGAUUUCUUCACUGUAAUUCUUAGUGGGUUAUGUAGUGAAAUAAAAGAGAUGUAGACUGUAAAUGCUAUCAAUGCAUUUCUUCUUUAUAUUUUUGUUAUGUUUUAUCCCUUUUGCCAUUUCAUCUCAGACAUUUUGUCCUUUUCUUUGUGUUUGUACAUAUUUAGGUUAUAGAUUAAAGUAUGGGGAGACUCAUGAAGGCUUUUGGUAAGGGCACUUAUGCUGCUUGUGUUCAAGAUUGUGAUGAUUCAGAUGGGGAUCCUUUUGUCCCCAAUGAUAUUGCUGAGGAUGAUCCUUUUCAAGAUUCGGAGGAACAUCAAAUGGAUGAUCAUGAUUUCGAGAAAGUCUUAGGCUAUGCUUUUUAGCUGCUUUUUUCUAGUCUGGCUCUGAUAAAGAUGGGGAUUGUUUUCUGCUACUAGAAAGCCAUACGUUAAGGAAAUCAACUUCAUCUUCAUUGAGAUUUGUUCAGGCAGGAGAGAGACGACAGGAGGUGAUGAAUGCACAGGAGA